UUCACUGGAUGAUCAGGAAACAUGUGCUGUCUGAACUACAAAUAUUCAUCAAUAAGAAUUCUUCAAUAGCCUAUCUAGCCAGUGAAAAUGGCCGGUGCACUGAUCAACUCCAAAAUCUCUGAGUUGUAAAACCAGCUGCCAUACUUAAUGACCUGGCUUCCUGUAUUUUCUUCAAUCAAGACCGACAACAUUGUGAGCAAACACCAGUUUUGCACAGCAUGCCUACCAAACUAUUCACCUCUGGAUUAACCUCACACUGCUUGUUGUUGGCAUCAUUACCAGGAUAAUGACACUGGUUUAUUUCAGCUCAAGUCAACACACCUUGCUGUCCUGAGAACCACAGCCACAAAGGAGGAAAAAAGAUCAGAGUCUGGUGAUAUCCUGGAUGGAGAGCCAUGAACGAUGCCUACUGUACGGCCCACAGAGGAUACUGGUGAUUGUCAGAGAUCCAGGUGUGUCAUGCUAGCAGUGGCUAACUUCAGCCCCAACCAACGCUGACAUGCGUAGUAGUGCUCCAACACCUGCAAACAGACUUUAUACAUUGAAAGCAAACUAGUCAAAUAUAAAUCAAUAGCACACAACAUGUUGGUCACUGAAUGUAUGUUACCCUGCAACACCAAAACCAGGGCACACAUUUAAUAAAAAUCCCUAGGGAUUACCAGAAUUUGCAACUAGCAGGUAGAGACAAUAGUGUAGCGUGGUGUCUGAGAGAGAGCGUGUCACGGAGCAGACAGAAGUACACACACAGCUGUGCUUAACACUACUCACGACUCCGAGCAGACACACUGAGCCUCGUUUACACUUCUACAGACAGCAGACAGAGAGUGUGGACACACUGUGUGGCAGCACUGACUGGGUUGCCAGCAGCAGGUUUCUGCUGUCUCAGCUCAGAGAG
This is a long non-coding RNA of Micropterus dolomieu (smallmouth bass), 895 nucleotides long. RefSeq lists it as uncharacterized. NCBI's taxonomy places the organism in Eukaryota, Metazoa, Chordata, Actinopteri, Centrarchiformes, Centrarchidae. The transcript is spliced from 3 exons. The record is from RefSeq and is a predicted model, not a curated record.